GGGUGAAAAAAGUGUUUUUGCAUCCUUUCUGCCAAAGGAUAGCUGCUUUGGUUUGUGCAAAUCUAUUUAUAACUCAGAAAAAUAAAUGAAAUUUAGCCUAGGCCCAUAAGUACACCGCCCAACGGUGGGUUGCACCGCCCGACGGUAAGCACGACACUUGGUAUCACCCCUCAGCACUGUCGCUUGGGCGUCCUCUAGAGAUCCCACUAAAGAGUCCACUGCUCAGCGGUGGGUUGCACCGCCCGACGGUCUAUGCGAUUCUCAUCUCACCCCUAAGUGGUGCCUCUUAAGCGCGUGACAAGAAUUCAUUGAAGGUCACACCACCCGACAGUGGUUGUGAUUCUUCUUUUCUUCAAUUUUCCACCUUCUUUUGCAUCCAAUACUUCUCUUCCUUCACUUCCUUCAUCAAGCUCCUGAUAAAUCCUACCAAAAUAAGGGAAAACCAAGCAUAAAACCAAGAAAACCUACUUUGACUCUCUUAUUCUUUAACUUCAGC
This 496-nucleotide long non-coding RNA is filed under the name Vigna radiata. Its description in RNAcentral is "long non-coding RNA (VRAD_LNC009921)". Lineage: Eukaryota; Viridiplantae; Streptophyta; Magnoliopsida; Fabales; Fabaceae. The record is from RNAcentral.